Molecule: ribosomal RNA, 424 nt
Filed under: uncultured Bacteroides sp.
Lineage: Bacteria; Pseudomonadati; Bacteroidota; Bacteroidia; Bacteroidales; Bacteroidaceae
Description: bacterial SSU rRNA
Rfam family: Bacterial small subunit ribosomal RNA
Source: RNAcentral
UGAGGAAUAUUGGUCAAUGGGCGAGAGCCUGAACCAGCCAAGUAGCGUGAAGGAUGAAGGUCCUAUGGAUUGUAAACUUCUUUUAUAAGGGAAUAAAACGCUCCACGUGUGGAGCCUUGUAUGUACCUUAUGAAUAAGCAUCGGCUAACUCCGUGCCAGCAGCCGCGGUAAUACGGAGGAUGCGAGCGUUAUCCGGAUUUAUUGGGUUUAAAGGGAGCGCAGACGGGAUGUUAAGUCAGCUGUGAAAGUUUGCGGCUCAACCGUAAAAUUGCAGUUGAUACUGGCGUUCUUGAGUGCAGUUGAGGUGUGCGGAAUUCGUGGUGUAGCGGUGAAAUGCUUAGAUAUCACGAAGAACUCCGAUUGCGAAGGCAGCUCACUAAACUGUAACUGACGUUCAUGCUCGAAAGUGUGGGUAUCAAACAGG